This 253-nucleotide unclassified non-coding RNA is filed under the name uncultured Acidobacteriota bacterium. RNAcentral describes it as "uncultured Acidobacteria bacterium contains 16S-23S intergenic spacer region". It matches the Rfam family "Bacterial small subunit ribosomal RNA", at positions 524 to 776 of the family's 1533-position model. Lineage: Bacteria; Pseudomonadati; Acidobacteriota. The record is from RNAcentral.
UACAGAGGGGGCGAGCGUUGUUCGGAAUUACUGGGCGUAAAGGGCGCGUAGGCGGCCUGUUAAGUCGGACGUGAAAUCCCCGGGCUCAACCCGGGAACUGCGUCCGGUACUGGCAGGCUCGAAUCCGGGAGAGGGAUGUGGAAUUCCAGGUGUAGCGGUGAAAUGCGUAGAUAUCUGGAGGAACACCGGUGGCGAAGGCGGCAUCCUGGACCGGUAUUGACGCUGAGGCGCGAAAGCCAGGGGAGCAAACGGG